CGGCUCCUCUCUUGUGCUCCUGGGGCGACAGGACAGAACCAAGGGAGGAGGCGUGGGCGGCAAGAGGGCCUCUGAGAAGGAGCUGUCGGCGGAGAGCUUCCCGAAGAAAGACAGGGUCGCAAGACGUGUUCACUGGAAAGGCCCAGGCUGUAUCGCGUUAAAUGGGGUGUCCGCGGGCGGAAAGACGAGCUUGGUUUCCGGAAAUCCUACAAAUCCAGCGCAGACAAAUACCCCGCAGACUCACGAUUCACGUCAACGAAUUACAUACAGCAGUGGUGAUCCAGAGAUAGACCCCAAGAUCCCACAGGCCAUCAGCAAAAAACAAACGAGCACCCCACCUUCUCACCACCCAGCAACAUCUCCACUCCAAAACCACUCCCUCCUGAUUCACUCUAGAAGAGGAGGCUAGCUGAGAAUAAAAUGUGAUUUCUUCCUGGACAGAAUCAAGAGACUGGUCAGGGGCCGGCCCUGUGGUUUAGUGGUUAAGUGCGCACACUCCGCUACUGGUGGCCCGGGUUCGGAUCCCGGGUGCGCACCGACGCACCGCUUCUCCAGCCAUGCUGAGGCCGUGUCCCACGUACAGCAACUAGACGGAUGUGCAACUAUGACAUACAACUAUCUACUGGGGCUUUGGGGAAGAAAAAAAGGAGGAGGAUUGGCAAUAGAUGUUAGCUCAGAGCCGGUCUUCCUCAGCAACAAGAGGAGGAUUAGCAUGAAUGUUAGCUCAGGGCUGAUCUUCCUCACAAAAAAAAAAAAAGAGAGAGAGACUGGUCAGCUCUCUGAGACUAGGAUGAGGGGAAGGGGAUGGAGAGGGUGGGAGAAGAAAAUGGAAGGCAAUUCCGUGCUUCUCUAGGCAAGGCCAAUGGGAGAACUUGGCCUUGGGUCCCCCAAGUCUACAACUUCACUACUGGCCCUUAGUUACCAAUGUUAGUCUGUCAGGGACUUCACGUUUAUGACUCGCAUUGGAGCCAUCACCCCUUCCCCAUAGUCGAUGCUUACUGAGAUUCAGCUGGGGAAGCAGGGGUUGCAGUACACCAGAGCAGGCCAGGGGCAGCGGUAGGAAGAGGCGGCAGGCAGGGACCCUCCGAAUCCAGUGUAAUGCCUGGCCCACAGUGGGCACUCAGCUGUUGAAUGGAUGACGGGGGACAGGGAUGGAGAGAAAGAGCUCAGAGGGAAAGGAGGCUGUAACCUAAGGCACAAGACACCUGACCCUGGGAAAGGGAGGGUGACUUGCCCACAAAAACCCACAGGCCUCUUCCUUCCUGGGUCUCAGCCUUUCUAUGUAGCAGAGACAGCCAUGAGGCUCCAAAGGCCCCAGGCAUCCCCCUCUCUACUUCCUGAAGCUGGCACCUGCGGUCCCCCAGCCCUGCCCUUUAUUCUACCUUGGACUGGUGACAGGGACACCUAGGGCCUUUCAUUGUAGCCCACACAGCAUCACCUUUGGGUUGGACUGAAGGAGCUCCUCAGUGCUGUUUCCUGAGGGGAGCAGCU
Diceros bicornis minor is the source of this 1491-nucleotide long non-coding RNA. RefSeq lists it as uncharacterized. Lineage: Eukaryota; Metazoa; Chordata; Mammalia; Perissodactyla; Rhinocerotidae. The transcript has 3 exons. The record is from RefSeq and is a predicted model, not a curated record.